This 201-nucleotide ribosomal RNA is filed under the name uncultured bacterium. RNAcentral describes it as "partial 16S ribosomal RNA". It matches the Rfam family "Bacterial small subunit ribosomal RNA", at positions 328 to 539 of the family's 1533-position model. The record is from RNAcentral.
ACGCUCGACACCUACGGGGAGGCAGCAGUGAGGGAUAUUGGUCAAGUGGGGGAAACCCUGAACCAGCAACGCCGCGUGAGGGAUGACGGUCUUCGGAUUGUAAACCUCUGUCCUCUGUGAAGAUAAUGACGGUAGCAGAGGAGGAAGCUCCGGCUAACUACGUGUCAGCAGCCGCGGUAAUCUGAGGCGGGCUGGCAAGGC